CAUCCUUAUUCUCAAUUUAAUCCUAACUAAAUUCACUUACUUUCCUAAUUCAAUUCACACUCUAUUUCUAUUCAAAUUUCAUCCAAACUAAAAUUUAACUAUCAAAAUUUCAGCAUAUUUUGGUAAUUUCGAAUUUCCCUCAAUUUAGUCCCUAAAACAUAAAACUUAUAGUUUCUUUUACAAUUUAAUCCCUUUUUCAAUUCUAACUUAAAAUUCCUUCAAGUUAAUCCCUAAUUCAUCUCUUUUGUUCAACAUAAACUAUACUUAAAAACCUAUGAACUUACAAAAUAUCAACUUAAUUCCAUCAAAACUUUGUUUUAAAGCUUUUAAAACAUUAGAAUUAAGAGAAAAGGGCUAAUUUGACUUACCAAUUUAAAUUUCUAUCAAAUACAUCCCUAAUUUAACAAUUUAUUCAACAUGAACCAUGCUUAAUAAUCUACUAACUUCCAAAAUUUCAACUUAAAUCAAGUAGUAUUUUAUUCUAGGAUUUCAAAAAAAAUAUCAAAAUUAAGAGAAAAUGGGAUUAAAUUGACUUACCAAAUUACUUUGAACCUUAAAACCCCAAAUUUCCCUUUUUCUUUUCUUUUCUUUCUUUCUUUCCUUCCUUCCUUCUCUGUUUCGUUUUGCUCUCUGUUUCUUUCUUUCUCCCUUCUCUGUUUUGUUUUUAAUAAUAAUCAUUACUUACAUAUAUAUAAUAUAUAUUAACUAGAAUAUCUCAGAUAUUUCUUUCAUUAUGCCGCCUCAACUUUAGAAAAAGGCAUAAUUACCUAUUUGGUCCUUUAACUUUUCUUUAAUCUAUAAUUAAACUUUUAUCCCUAUUGCAAUUUAAUCCUUUUUCAUAAUUAACUAUCGAAACAUUAAAAUUCCUUAACGAAACUUUAAUAUUAUCCUAUUGACACUUCGUAAAUAUUUAUAAAAAUAUUUACGGCUCAGUUUAUAAUAUCGAGGUCUCGAUACCUCAUUUUCGACCCAAUUUACCUAAUAAUUUCUUUUAAAUCACAAAAUUCACUAAUUCAAAAAUAUUUCUAAAAUCACACUUAACUUAUAAUUAUUAAUUAAUAAAUUUUUCUAACUUUUCCAUCAAUUUUAGUGAUCUCAAAUCACUAUUCUGACACUACUAAAAAUUGGGCUGUUACAACUCUUCCCCCCUAAAAAAAAAUUUCGUCCUCGAAAUUUCUCACCUGAUACAGGCUAUUAAGUCAAAUCUUUCUUCCACCCUUUCAAUCGAAGUCCAUAAAAAUUAAUCAUAACUCAUAUCACUUCCGAAAUCAUAUCAGAACUCAUUUUAGAACUUGAUACUAUGCCUGAACUUAACUGAGUAACUCUGAUGUUCUCUUGCCAUCACUUUUUCACUAGUAGUAUGACUACUAAGAAAUUUCCAGUAAUUGUCUGUCGAAACAUAACUGAGAAACUCGAAUUAUCUUAUUUAAUACCUUUAAACGAAGACCUUGGAAACCCAUCCAGCGAGAAGAAAACAGAUAAUUUAAACCCAUUGUGGAGACCCAAAAUAUAUUGAUUCCAUCACUGAUGAUUACUCAACUUUUCACUGAAUAACCCACUCUGAUUAGAACUGAGUCGAUUUUUAUCUUUCAGAUAAUAACAUUCUAGAAUAAUCCAUUCUUCUUGUUGUCAAAACAAUUUAGAUAUAUCAUAUAUCAUAAUCCUCUCAGAACACCAACCGAAAAUUACCACAAAUAGCAUUUAACUCAACCGAAUUUUGACAUUCCAUUAUUGACUUGUUGACAUAAUUCAGAAUUACCUGAGAAAUGAAAACCAAAACACAAGUUUGAGCUCAAUCUUCCUCCAUCUAUACUUUUGCCGAUGUCAACCCUUUCACGAAAACUAGAAAGGAAUUAUAUAUAAUAAAAAUAUUUCAAUCAUUAACAUCGAAGCUUUGAACUAUACCGAAGCCACAACCAUCAAAUAGAUUAAAAACUAUAAAGCUAUACUAGGACCGACGUUCCAACUAUAUAGAUAGAACAAUACCUCAACAUCAAUAGUGCACUCCAAAAUAGAUGAAGAAAACCGAAGUAGUCCCAAUAACAACCAGUGCAGUAAUACAACUUCUAUAAUCUGAAAUCCAUAUCACCGGGUUCCCAUGAUCAAACCAAGAUUUAUAACAGUAAUAAAUAUAAUUACCUCUGGCCAACGAAUAUCUUGUACGGAUGAACCAUGGUUAAUAAAUAAGAUUAGACCAUAAGAAUAAUAAGAAAACCGAGAUAAUAGAAUCCAAGAUGUGAAGCUAUACUAAAUUUUCGAGAAGAAAAACCACAUUGAAUGAUAAAGAGAUCGAUGAUAUCCCAGAGAAAAUCCAAAAGAAUAUCCCAGAGAAAAUCCAAAAGAAGAAUAUCACUUGUACGUACUAGGAAUAGUUGUGAUAAAGACAAUAUAAAUUCCAUAUAUAUAAUUCGGAGCUUCAACCAGUAGAAAUAGAAAAUAGCUUCAUAUGAGUCUUAUCAUCAAAUCUUCCAUCGAACUUAAUAGAUUAGAAAACCAAAGAAAGAUAGAGGAAUCCCGAUCAUGAAUCAACCAGACUAAUAAUAAUUUCGUCUAACAAUACGAUUAGCCAACCUUGCUAUAUGAUAAAAAUCAUAUCUGAAAAUAAAUAAUUGCAUAUACCUCUGAGGAUAAAAGAGCAUAUAGAAUACCCAUAUAGAAUACCCAGAAGAGAUCAUUGUAAAAUACUCGACUAUAACAACUGCAUUCAGAUAUGGUUGCAAUUUUCAACACAAUCCCACUGAUUACUAAAGUCAUCAAUAAUCUCGCAUUAUCCCAAUCAUUAAAGAAAUCAAUUCAGAAGAAAUUCCGAUUAACCUGCUCUUUAAAUUUUAUACCUGAGUAAGUCGAUUACUCGUGAAUAGCUUCUUCCUUAAUAGCGACAUUGCAAAUCCCAAUAAUCAUUUAAAAAAAAUCUAAUAUCCUUUUUAGAACUCUCUUUACUUGCUAUCCCAUCCACAAUUCUGACUGCAUUAUUAUUCCUUCAAUUAUUGAACUCUUCAAUUUCACACUUGUAAACUUAAUGAAUACAAUUCUUGUAAAUUCCAUUGUUCAGGUGAGGGGGUGAAGGUCGUAAAGCCUCAAAAUUUGACUCUUAUAUAUAUUCUUAUAUAUAUAUACACAUAACAUGACUUUUAUCGUCAAUAUAUUCAUUACAAACAUUCAUUUCAUACCUUAUAAAUCUUUACUCAUAUAGGCAACUCCCCUUUCUCUAUCAAAUACUCAAAUAUCACUUUCAUCACUGUCGGAACUAGAUCAAUUGGAGACAUUUUUGUCUAUUAGUAAAACAUUUCUCAUUUAUCAAGGUUACUCUUUUAAAUGUAUAAAUGUAUAUUUUCAUCCUUAUCUAUAAGGAUUACUAUUUUAAAUCUCCAUACAGAACUAAAUAACAUUUACUUAUUCACAACUUUAAAUUAUUUAUUACAAAUACAUACUUCUUUAUUCACAACUUUGUAACUUAUUUUUCCUUUAUAAUCAUUCAUCAUUGAAUCAAAGAUAAUCUUUUAUCUUGUAACAUUUUUUUUUAGCAGAGGCCCAGUAGACGAAACAGAAUACUUAGGAUAUACGGGACUGUACAGAGAGCACAAAUGUGCUAAACGGAGAGCACUAACGUGCUAGUGAUCAGAGAGCGUGCUAAUAUUCAGAGAGCACUGAUGUGCUAAUAAUCAGAGAGCACGCUAAACUCCCUUAAUAUCCUAAUAGUUCUAACCUCGUCUACUUGGGCAAAUUAUUUCAUUCAUGCAUGCAUAUCACUUUUACACUUUUCGCACAAUACUUUUACAUGCUUUACAAUUUAAUUCUUGUACCAAUAAUUUGUGCAUUUAUAUCUUCUCUAUCUUUAGCACAUGUAAUAUAUUUCAAAAUUUACUAUUCAUCCAUAAAUCCUUAAUAAUCCUUAUCAUCUACUUCAUAUAUUACUUUUGUAUUAUUAUUUUUUUAUAAUUUAGUUAUCAAUUCAAUAGUUCGUAUAGCACUAUAAUUUAUUUUUCAAUGAAACAUAUAACGCAAUAUUCAUCAUCAUAUUCAUUCGACAUUUUCAACUCUAAAACAUAAGCAAAUAUAUCAGCAUCCAAAUCUCGACUCAAUUCGACACAAUUAUGGCAUGUACCUCUAAACUCAAUUCUGAGCUCGAUUUAGUCCGAGAAUCGACUAAACCUGCAAAGCUCUGAUACCACCAAUUGUAACACCUCCUAACCCCAAACUGUUACCAGAACGAGGUUAUGAGGCAUUACCGGACGUAUCGAACGAUUUACAACAAUUCUUAAAUAAAUAACCAAUAUAUUAAAAUAAUUCAUAAAAUUUAUUAGUUUGUUUACCAAAUGACUUCAUUUUUUUUUUUAAUAAAAAUUUCGGCAGCAUUUCUGCUUACUUUUACAUAAAAUCCUCUGCAAAUUAAAACCAUAUAGUUCCCAAAUAUCAUCAAUUCAACCAAUUCAUUUCACAUUCACAUUUUAUAUUCUAAAUACUUCUAAUCAAACUCAAUCUACACAAUAUCAAUUUAAAAUUUAACAAUGUACUAAUUAGAUAAAAUAGAUAGACUUCUUUCAUUAAAAUCCAUAAACUUUUAAUACUAACAUUUUUAACCAUUAUAUAAUAAAACAUAUAACCUUUAUACACAAUCUAUGUACAUGCCACCUUUACCAAAGGAAAAAUACAUCACCAAGUUUUGCCGAAGCCGGGAUUAAUCUGGAUGCUGAACCGGGACCUUUGACUUCUAUUGACCUGCGCACGGAAACAACCGUACGCUGAGUAAUUCAUACUCAGUGGUAUUACCAUAAUUCAAAUUAUAACAAUAAUGUACAUGUAAAGCAUAAAUCGUAUAUACAAUUUAAAUUAAAUAUUUCAACAAUAGCAAUUCAUCAACCAAUAUCGUAUAUCCACAAUUUGAGUUUGAAUAAUUCACGAACCUUAGGUUCAUUUCUCAAUCUCAUUUCACAUUUCAAUUCACAAUUCAACUUUUUCAUAUCAUUUCAAUAGCUCGUUUGACCAACUCGUUCGGUUUAUCAUUUCAUCAUUUACCCUAUUAACAAAACUCGGACUUUGGCGGAUACACGGAUCCAACCAAACACACCAGAAUGGCACCCAGUGCCUCAUCGGAUAGUUCGAAGCAAUAGUUGACACCCAGUGUCUCAUCGGCAAAGCCGAAGAAAGUUGGUACCCAGUACCUCAUCGAAUCUAUCCGAAGAAAUAUAGUGACACCCAGUGUCUCAUCGACUCGAGGUCGAAGUAUCCCUGAACUCUUCCAAUCCUAUGGCAUGCCAACUAUAUCCGACUCAGCCCGACUAGUUAAUAGGGUAUUUAAAUCACAUAUAUUCUCAAUUCAAUCACACUUUUUCACACUUUCAAUUCAAUCAUUUUUCCACCUUUCAAUCAAUAAUUAAUCCGCAAUUAACAUACUUUCACAACUCAAUACAUUUCCAUUCAAUUUAAUAUCGGUCAUUAUUCGAUUUAAAUUCAUUUCCCGCUUUCAAUCAACAAACAAUUCAAAUAUUAUUUCAUAUCAACUAUUCAAUUUAAUUCCCACUCAUAAUAAUAAUACUAAUAAUAAUAUUAAUACUAAUAUUAAUACUUACCUCACAUUUCAUUUACUAGACACAUAAAUUAAAAUUUAACAUAAAAAAAAUAAAUAAUUUGAAUUAUAGUAAUACAAACCGUAAUUUUCUCGAGUUUACUCCUCGAUAAUCUUCUCUUUUCCCUUCCGUGCCGACGCUUCUGGUUCUUUGCUAGCUACGAAAAUGAUAAUAAUUUAUACUAUUAAUUUCAGCACUAAUUAUGAUAAUAAUUAAAUUUCUAUUCAAUUUCUUCCUUAUUCUCAAUUUAAUCCUAACUAAAUUCACUUACUUUCCUAAUUCAAUUCACACUCUAUUUCUAUUCAAAUUUCAUCCAAACUAAAAUUUAACUAUCAAAAUUUCAGCAUAUUUUGGUAAUUUCGAAUUUCCCUCAAUUUAGUCCCUAAAACAUAAAACUUAUAGUUUCUUUUACAAUUUAAUCCCUUUUUCAAUUCUAACUUAAAAUUCCUUCAAGUUAAUCCCUAAUUCAUCUCUUUUGUUCAACAUAAACUAUACUUAAAAACCUAUGAACUUACAAAAUAUCAACUUAAUUCCAUCAAAACUUUGUUUUAAAGCUUUUAAAACAUUAGAAUUAAGAGAAAAGGGCUAAUUUGACUUACCAAU
Molecule: long non-coding RNA, 6170 nt
Filed under: Gossypium barbadense (sea-island cotton)
Lineage: Eukaryota; Viridiplantae; Streptophyta; Magnoliopsida; Malvales; Malvaceae
Description: long non-coding RNA (GBAR_LNC020472)
Source: RNAcentral